Molecule: transfer RNA, 66 nt
Filed under: Abracris sp. OR222
Lineage: Eukaryota; Metazoa; Arthropoda; Insecta; Orthoptera; Acrididae
Description: tRNA-Asp
Source: RNAcentral
UAGGAGUUAGUUAAAUAAUAACAUUAAAAUGUCAAUUUAAAAUAACUAAUAAAUUAGUACUCCUUG